GUGCUUGCUCCAGCAGCAUAUAUACUAAAAUUGGAAUGACGAUUAGCAUGGCCUCUGCACAAGGAAGACACACAAAUUCAUAGUGUUCCAUAUUUUA
This 97-nucleotide small nuclear RNA is filed under the name Choloepus hoffmanni (Hoffmann's two-fingered sloth). Lineage: Eukaryota; Metazoa; Chordata; Mammalia; Pilosa; Megalonychidae. The record is from RNAcentral.